Loxodonta africana (African savanna elephant) is the source of this 30605-nucleotide long non-coding RNA. RefSeq lists it as uncharacterized. The transcript has 2 exons. The record is from RefSeq and is a predicted model, not a curated record. Lineage: Eukaryota; Metazoa; Chordata; Mammalia; Proboscidea; Elephantidae.
CUCACCGUGUACAGAUGAAAAAGUUCAAUAAUAAAAAAAAGAAUUUACUGAGAAGACCAUCUUGAAAUAAAGAACAAAUUACGCAAUAUUUGAAAUGAAGUGCAGGUAUUUUAGUAAUAUAUAUCGUCACUAGUUACUAAUAGCUAGCCUUGAUAGACCUGCUUGAUAAACAGAUAUGCCUCGUUUCUAAUUAUUACCUUCAUGGUACAAAUUAGACACAGGGCAGUUUUGUUGAAGAGUGUAAAGAUACUUUAUCUACUUAAAUGGCUUAAGCUGUCCAUCUCUGAUCUUUGCAGUUGUUUAGCAAGCUACAGGUAGAUGAUCCAGGUGGAGCUAGGCUGAAGGGUGCUUUGCAUUACCACUAAUUCUGAAUUAGUGGGGUCCAAAUUAGGAGUUUUUUUUUUUUUUCUGUUUAAAACAGCUUAAAUUGUGCCUGUUGGUCAGGUAGUAGUGUAUGUACCAUAGUUGAGAUUUUUGUCUGAAGGUUCUAAACCACUCCUAACAACCCAAAGUUAUUGGUAUGGGAACAUUAGAAUAUUAAAAAGUAGGGGAUUUAAUAAGAGAAAACAGCAAAGGAGACCAUCCCCCCUUCUUUCUAAAAUAAUGGUAUGUAUAAUACAAAAUUGUAUUGUGUUCUAUCAUUUUCUAAAUAAUGCAAUGUAGGUUUUCUGACUUCUGCGUUCAGUGACUUGAGUAGAAACCUAUGUUAAAUAUAGACUACCUGUUUCUUUGUAUCUGAUAGUAAUUGAGAUUAACAGGCAGAUCUGGGUUCAGGCACAGGAGAAAAUACCAGAAUGUGCAGUGAGGGAAGAAUCAUAAGUAAAGCCUUGUUCUAGUGUAAAAGCACCACAAAGUUUAGUAAUGCAAAAAGCAAGGUUUUAUUCGGCAUAUAUGCAGGGGCAAAAGUAGGAAACAGACAAGCAUGCUACCAGAGCCAUGUUUGUCCAAGUCCAAGGAAUAUUACAGAACAGACAAAAGUGGGAAAACGGACAAGCGUGCUGCCAGAGCCGUGUCUGUCUGAGUCUGAGGAACAUUACGGAAUCAUCAGUAUAUAUUAAAAUUACAAAUGGGCAAAACCAUUGAAAGUUUCACAUAUUCACAGCUUGGCUAGAAACUGUUAAGUCGCCAUGAUUCUCCAUUUUGAAUCGCCUUUCUUAAUCAUUGGUACAGGUUUCAGUAACGGCAGUCAGGAGGGUCUUCAUUGGUCCAACAAAUCGUACUAUUCACUAAACGCUAAUAGAAAAAGAUAAGAGUGGAAAGUGUGUGGGUCUUUUGUGUGCUGUUUUAGUAGUUUGUGUAGAAAAACAAACAAACAAAGAAACAAAAGCUCAAAAACCAAACCCGUUGCCGUGGAGUCAAUUCUGACUCAUAGUGACCCUACAGGACAGAGUAGAACUGUCCCCAUAGGGUUUCCAAGCAGUGACUGGCGAAUUCAAACUGCUGACCUUUUAGUUAGCAGCCGUAGCUUUUAACUGCUGUGCCACCAGGGCUCCUUAUGUGAAAGUUUCCCUAAAAGAUCUUUUCCAAGAUUGUCCUAGCUAUUGUCUUUAUACCUCAGGGCCCAGUUGAUGUGUCCCUUGUGAGUGCAGCUCCAGCUGGAUCACAUUCUAGGACAGGGAGUAAUGACUGCAAUAUUAUCUCCUAAGCCAGCCUCCAGCCACCCAAGGAAGUCCCUUCAGCCCCCAUGUCCAGUGUAGAACUUCACCCACCUCUCUAUGAGACUGAGACUGACCCUCAGAAUAAAUAAGUAUUCAUGAAAAAAUCUACUUUCUUUAUGAUGGCCCUGCCUUUAGUGAGGAAACAAAAUGUUUCACCCACCUAAAAGCUGGGAAGAACAAGUCAUUUGUUUGACUUAGCUAAUGGGAGCCCAGAAACCGUGGUGGCAUAGUUGGUUAAGAGCUAUGGUUGCUACCGAAAGGUUGGCAGUUCAAACUCAACAGCCCGCUCUGUGGGAGAAAGAUGUGGCAGUCUGCUUCUGAAAAGAUUACAGCUUGGGAGACCCUAUGGGGCAGUUUUGCUCUGUCCUAUAGGUCACUAUGAGUUAGAAUCAACUCGAUGGCAAUGGGUCAUUUGGUUGGUUGGAAACAAUUAAGCAAAGGUGUGAACUUACAAUAACUUGUUCAGUGUCAGAAGAUAGAAGAAGUGACUUACUGAAACCUAAUAGAAUCCACCUCCAUUUUCACAAGCCUUCAAGAACUGCUGGAAAACAAAUUCUUAGCUGAAGAAAUGAUACAUUUGUAGACCUCCAAGAUGUCGAAAUAUUACUGCUCUUACCUUUGUAUUAUGCCAUAAAAUACUUGUUUGACUAAAAAAUAGUAAACAGCCUCAAAAUCAUGUCACUAAAUCAUUAUCCUUAUAUUCAUUCUUGUUAAACUAGUUGUAUUUCACAUAACACACACUUUCUAAGAAGCUUAAUAAUUAUUAAUGAAAUACCAAUGCAUCUUAUUAAUUUAUCUAAUUACAAUCAUACUGAGCAGUCUUGUCUUCUAAAAUAGUAAUAAUAGUGAUAACAGUGCCAGACACUGUUCUAAUCACUUUACAUAUAUUAACUAUUUACUCCUGACAACAACUCUGUGAGGUAGGUACCAUUGUUAUUUCUAUUUCAAGCAAUUUGAUCAAGGUCAUACAGCUAGUAAGUGUGGAGUCAGGAUUUGCAUCUAGGCUUUGUGAAUCUAGAGAUAUAAUAUGUAAUGGAUACCAGUUGUUGUGGAGUCCAUUACGCCUCAUGGUGACCCCGUGUGUUUCAGAGUAGAACUGUAGAACGGUACUCCGUAGAGUUUUCUUUUGGAAGCAGAUCACCAGGCCUUUCUUCUGAGUUGCCAUCUGGGGGGAUUCAAACCAUCAACCUGUCAGUCGCUGAGCUUUUAACUAUUUGUGCCGCCCAGAUACAAUGAUUGAAAUCUUGAGGGAGGACCAGAUGUUCCCUGUGAUUAAAUAUAGAGUUCAAAAUGUAUAAGCAAAGUCUGCCCAAAGCCUUUCCCUGUGACUUGCUGAUACCAAUGAGUACGAAAGGCAUUUUCACAUCAGUAGGAUCAGAGCUAUGUUUGGUAUGAGGAUUGUGAUCAUGUUUCAGGAAGUAUUCCCAGUUCUGACACACAUUUCCUGAGUUGUGCUUUUACACGGUGAUCAUAGCUGGUUAAGAUUCCUGUUCUGGGCUUCUGUUUUAUUAGCUCCAAGAUGCUUCAUUCUGUUUCUUCCCGUUCCUUCUUCACUUUGCUUAGUGUUCUCUGACCUAUGCUAUUUGGGGUCCCUUUUGAUGAUUCUGUAGCCAUUCCUCUAUGGUUUCAUAUCUGGCAUUAAGCCGUUUUUACCCUGCUAAAAGCUUCUAAACUUUUGAAUCAGAAAAUAAAUGCUAAAAAUAAAAUCAUUCCCCCAAAUGCUUCAUUUGUUAUGACAAAAAUAUAUAUAACAAAAUGUGAUGGUUAAGAUUGUGUGUCAGCUUGGUUGGGCCAUGAUUCUCAGUGUUUUGGCAGUUGUAUAAUGUUGUGAUCACUUUCCUGUUGAAAUUUGAUAUGUGCUCACCCCCAUGAUGGAAUCUGCUGAGUGGUACCAGCUGGGGGUAGGGCCUGUGGUGGCUAAAUGCCCCCUCAGCCUCCAUCUUUCCACCUUCCGCCAUCUACUUCCUUUUCCUGCUCAACUUUCAAAGGUUGUUGUCUUGUUCUGGAUCUAGCAGCUGUCUCUUGUCUGACCUCUAGUUCUUGGGACUUGAGCUAGCAGCUUACCUGUCCAUCUUGGGAUUUGCCAAUCUUCAUGGCAUGUGAGCAAGAGUCCUGCUCUCGGACUUGCCUAUCUUGGGUUCGGCAGCCCCUGCAGCUGACUCAGGAGAAAACUUGCCGUAUUGCCUGCUAACCUUGGGGAUUCCUCACCGUCAGAACCUGUGAGUGGAAUCCCUGCUCUCCAACCUGCUCAUCUUGGAUUCCCAGCUUCUGCAGCUCUGUGAAUUGGGAAAGGACUCUGUCUUGAUCCAAGGACUUGGGACUUUCCAACCCCCACAAUCACGUGAGCUGUUCACUUAAUAUAAAUCUCUCUCUAUUUAUACACAUUACUGGUUUUGCUUCUCUAGAGAACCCAGCCUAAGACACAAAAUAUUUGCAAUUUAACCAUUUCUUACAUAUAUAGUUCAGUGGCAUCAAUUAUGUUCGUCAUGUUGGGAACUGUAAGUUUAAGAUAAUGAUGGUGGAAUAAUUUGGAAAAGGAUAGAGAGAAUGAUAGCACAACUUGAAGAAAGUAAUCAAUGUCACUGAAUUGUACGUGUAGAAAUUGUGGAAAUGGUGUGUCUUUGGCUGUGUGUAUGUUCUCCAAAAACAAAUAAAUAAGCAAACACUUGUAAGGAGGGCGGAUUAUCCAAUAGGCAAGGUAAACACAGUGUUCACCUUACUUACCAGAUCAUCUGUAAUGAACAAUUUCACAUUUUUUUUUAAAUCACAUCAAAGAUUCUGCUUCUAGGUAUGGCUGACAUCUGUCUCUCUCCCAACCCUAUAGCACCUUUCUACAGAAUCAGGGCCUUUUUUUAAAAUUUACAGUCCCUAACAGAAGAAGCCGACCCAGUAAGCAAGGUAAGCGUGGGCUUACUUGUGCUUACUUACUCAUCUGUAGUGAACAGUUAUAAUGAGCACCAGCUGCCAUGGAGUCCACUACAACUCAUGGUGACCCCAUGUGUUUGAGAGUAGAACUGUACUCCUUAGGGUUUUCAAUGGCUGUGAUCUUUUCAAAGUAGAUCGCCAGGUGAAACCCAUGUGAAAUUGUUCACUACAGGUGAUCUAGUAACCAAGGUAAGCACUGCGUUUACCUUGCCUAAUGGAUAAUCCGCCCCUGUUUGUAAGCACUGUUUUGGUUAAAAAAAAAAAAAAAUAGGUGCUGUUUAUUUGGCAUAAUCUGUGAUAGAAAUUCUAUGUUUAAUUUUCAAACUAUGAAGUAAUGACGUGCUCAACAAUGUAUAUGGUUCUCAGAGCUGGUGCCUACCUGCCUGUCAGGGACUGAGGCAGUAUUUACACAUAGCAGGCCUCCAUGUGAUCACUAGAUCCUUGAGUGGCUAGACUGAUGGCAUGAAAACCACCCUCUGCUCAACCUUGGGGAACAACUGAAUGUUAUUAUUUUUUUAAAACCAGGUAGGCAAAAACAUAAAAUGCUCCUGGUUCACAGUUUGCUUACUCUUCCUGUGCGUCAGGACUCCCGCUGGCAUAGUAUCGCCAGGCAUUGUAAACAGCUCCUAUAAAAUGCCUAAAAUAGCAACAGACUUUCUCAGGAGUUGUUUCCAGUGUCUGGACUAUACAUUUAGCCUUUCAUAUCCUUGAUGCAAAAAGAAACAAUACAGAACCUAAGAGAGUUGACUGAUGUAUUUGGUAGGCAAAUGUGAGGAAGGGGACAGAGGGUUGGAUUGAUCAGGCAUCAGCCAUGUAAUUCGUAAGCCCUCAGAGACCCGGUUGUUCCCUUUGGCUCUGCCUUACUCUGUCUCCCCUGAUGGGACCAGGCCUAUUCUUGCAGGGUCAUCUGAUAUCUGUACAGUUGGGUGAAUAUUGGCUACUGUUGGAGAUCUGACUGCUAGUUUCACAACAAGGACGGAGGAGCAAAAGUACAAUGGAAAAUUGAAGGAAUUCUCUAGAUAAUUCUAGGUUUUCCAAAAGGCUCUUUUUUGGGAGGCCUAAAUUAUCGAGGUUAUUGAAUGCAUCUCUUCUUUAUUUUACUGGUAGCGGCUCUUUGGAUUUAGAAGAUUGGUCUGAGGAAGAAUAAAAAAAGCUUAUUAGAGUUCAAGCAUCAAACAAUCUUGUCUUCUGUUUUCUAGGUAAUAUUUAUUGAGUAUUAUGCUGUGUACUAGAAUCCCUGGGUAGUACAAAUGGUUAAUGAAUCUGGCUGCCAACUGAAAGGUUGGAGGUCAAGUCUACCCAGAGGCACCUCAGAAGAAAGGCCUGGUAAUCAAAAAAAAACUACUUCUGAAAAAUCAGUCGUUGAAAACUUUAUGGCACAUAGUUGUUCUGUGACACAUACAGAGUUGCCAAGAGUCGAUGUCUACUGGUAUGCUGUGUGCUGAGUAGCGUGCUGUGUAUUCUCCAGACAAAUACUCAAACCUCUUAGAGACCCAAUGAAGGAGGCAUCUUAAUACCUAAUAUUAGCGACUUUAAGUCAUCUGUACAGGGUCUUGAAAGAAAUGAGAAAGUUGGGGUUGCAGCUCAGGUCAGUAUGACUCAGGAGCCUGUUUGCCUGGAACACUGCCUUGGUCUUUUUGGGAGGUUAGGAAAAGCUUCAGUGGAAACUCUUCGGUCAAAGACAAAGUUAUCAAAUGGAUGUUGACUUCCUGCCUCAGUCAGAUGCUCUUGUCUGUAUAUUUGUUGACUGCUUCUCACCAUAUACCAACUGAAUCAGAGAGUGACCAACUUUGGUGUUUGUUUAGUGUCAGCCUGUGUUGGGCACUGCGUGUGACAUGCCCCAGAUACUGUUGCUUUAGGAGUUUACAACACCCUGGUCACCACUCUGGGGACUAAAAUCCAAUAGACUAAACCAGAAGACAUUCUGUUUGUCUGUGAUGUUCCUUUCAACUGUUUGCUCCCACCCAUUAUUUAUUAAAAAAAAGUAUAUAAGCAUUUCUGGAGAGUAGUAUUAAGAUAGUCAAAGUUUCUUACCGUGUAGACAACAUGUCACCGCUCUGUGUAAACCAGCGGAGUUCAGACAAUAAAUAUUGGAAAAAUAGAUAUAGGCUGGGGAAAGAUCAUUUCAUAUUCAGUAGAACGUGUAUGGUUAUAAACACGGGCUUUGGAAUCUGACAGAUUUGAGUGUGAAGGUACUAGGUCUGCCGUGUUCUAGCUAUAUUAUACUAGAUAGUUAUUUAACAUUAAGAUGAUCAUUAUUCAGGUUAGGACGUGUUAUGGAUUGAAUUAUGUAUCCCUCUAAAUAUGUAUCAACUUGGGUAGGCCAUGAAUCCCAGAAUUGUGUGAUUGUCUGCCAUUUUGUGAUCUGAUGUGAUUUUCCUAUGUGUCAUAAAUCUUAAUCUCUACCUGUGGUUAAUGGGUCAAGAUUAGGUUAUUUUAAACAGGAUUAGGGUGGAGUGCAACAUACUUACUCAGGUCACAGCCCUGAUAGAUAUAAGGCGAGUUUCCCUGGAUUGUGGCCUGCAUCACCGUUUAUCUUAUAAGAGAUUAAAGGAAAGAGAAGUGAGUAGAGAGAUGAGCAUCUACUACCACUAAGAAUGAAGAGCCAGGAGUGGAGCACGUCAUUUGCAUCCAGGGUUCCUGCACUGAGAUGCUCCUAGACCCAGGGGAAGGUCGAUGACAAGGACCUUCCCCCAGAGCUGACAGAGAGAGAAGGCCUUCCCCUGGAGCUGGCACCCUGAAGUUGGAAUUACAGAAGCAGACUCUCACAUCUUUCUCCAGAGGAGUGACUGGUGUGUUCAAACUACUGACUUUUCAGUUAACAGCCAAACAUUUAACUACUGCACCACCAGGGCUCCUUCCCGUAAAGAUUAGAGCCUAGCAAACUCUAUGGGGCCGUUCUGCUCUGUCAUAUAGGGUCACUAUGAGUCAGAAUCGACUCAACAGCACCUUACACCAACAGGUUGUCCUUAUUGUCUUCCUUCCCCUGGAGAACUAGAAAGAUAUAUGAAAGUCAGUAGAUAAUGUACCUUGUGAGUAUUGAUGGGUCAGUAAGAUAGCCAAGACGGAGAACAAGUUGGAGACCUUUAGGAAAAUAUAGUGGAAGAAGGACAGGAAGCUGGCCAACUUUCUCACUAUCCAAAACUUCUCUGUCGCAGCAAUGAAUUGGCAUAACUCUGUACUUCCUGUGUGAUUGUAUUUGUGAUGGUGGAAUUCUCCAGAAGGAAGGCCGCAUAUUUGCUGGCAACCGUGUGCAGGAUAAUUUGCUGAUAGGAAUUGGCUCUUUGCUUUAUUUUCUACAACUUACGUAAACCAACUGGGCCUGAGAAGAAACUAAAACUCUGAAGCUGCCUCGAAGUUUUAUUUUAUUUUUAAAUGACACUUGGCUAAAUAUAAAUUUGAAUUACCAGAGAUUAAUACCAGUUUGAGCUGCCAAUAACCUACCUUAGUGUUGAAUUUGGUUUUUCUCUAGAACAUAUGGGAUCAUCAGCGAUACCUGCCUGUCAUAUGAUCGGAGUGUCUUCUACAUGCAUUACCUGGCUUCUUCCACCAGCCUUUUGAGAUAGAUGAACUAUUUAUAAACAAAUAAAUGAAAUCAAAAGAGAUUAACUGACUUUAAGUCAGUGUCUUUCUGCAUGAAGUCCAAUGCCCUCGACUGCAGAGUGAAGAAGGAAAGACUACAAGAUUCUGAGAAUUUAGGGCAGAUAGCUGAAUGAUUUCAUUUUGUCCUUUAUUUUAAAUGUGAUCAGGCCCAAUCAGAUGACAAAUAAGCUGAUAGGCAUAGAACUUUACAGAAAAAACUCUAAGACCCUAUCCAACUUAGUUCCUUCUUAAGAAAGCUGCCAAUGUGGACUUUUUCCACAGGUACCUAAACUAUUCUCAUAUAAAGGACAUGUUUCAACAAAAGCUCAAAUUCUGUUUGAUUCAUCUUUUAAUUGGUUUUAUAGUUGUAUCAAAAGCAGUGUGUCUAAUGUGAAAUGAUAAGCAAUCAAACAGGGUUGAUUUAGGAUUAGAGUAUUGCCAGUUUUUCAUGAAAGGCUAAAGUUUUUUAGUCUUGAUGUAAAUUUAGUGUUAAUGUAGGAAAUUGUUUUCUUCUUUGACCCUCUACCUCUCAACCUAAUUUGAGAACUAGGUGGUUGAUACUGCAUUAGUUCAAGUUUUUAUUUUCAUCAUAGUAUAGAUCCACUUCCAGUUUCAAAAUUAUUCUUAGGUCAGCAUGAUAGAUGUUACCAGUGAGGGAGACUGGCUGAUUUGUUGUUGCAAAGCUCACAGGCUGGCAAUACCAUGGGUGGUGUAUCUACUGGUGAUAAGCUUUGCAAGUCUCUGAACUUGACCUUGUCAAGGUACUUAGAGCUAUUUUAGCUCAGAGGGUUUGACUGGCACUAACCAAAUUCAUAAGAGACCAUCAUAUAAACCCAAACGCCUGUAACCAUCUAAACGAACAAACAAAAAAGCUGUUGCUGUCAAGCCUAUUCCAACUCAUAGCAACCCUAUAGGACAGAGUAGAACUGCCUCAUAGAGUUUCCGAGGAGCACCUGGUGGUUUCUAACUGCCAACCUUUCGGUUAGCAGCCAUAGCUCCUAACCACUAUGCCACCAUCUGGUGGACCAUAAAUUGGCCAGUCAGUGCAGUCUCUCCCCUGUAAUAAAAUCUUAAGGGAAGCCAGUGGCCAAAACUAGGAGGUGGCUUGGUGUGAAGGAAUCAGACACUGAUAAUCAUGACAACUGACAUUUAUUAAGCACUCACUGUAUACCAGGUACAGGUCUAAGCUCUUGACUGUAUUAACUACCACUGUCUUCAAGAGGAACAGGGCAUCAGGAUUGGAAGAAGACUCAUUAAUAACCUGUGAUAUGCAGAUGACACAAUUUUGUUUGCUGAAAAUGAAGAGGACUUGAAGCACAUGCUGAGGAAGAUCAAAGACUACAGCCUUCAGUAUGGAUUAUACCUUAACAUAAAAAAACAAAAAUCCUCACAACUGGACCAAUAAGCAACAUCACAUAAAUGGAGAAAAGAUUGAAGUUGUCAAAGAUUCCAUUUUUCUUGAAUCCACAAUCAACACCCUUGGAAGCAGCAAUCAAGAAAUCAAAGGACGUGUUGCAUUGGGCAGAUCUGCAGAAGACCUCUUUAAAGUGUUGAAAAACAAAGAUGUCACCUUGAAGACUAAGGUGUGCCUGACCCAAGCCAUGGUAUUUUCAAUCGCAUCAUGUGCAUGUGAAAGCUGGACAUUGAACAAGGAAGACCGAAGAAGAGUUGAUGCCUUUGAAUUAUGGUGUUGGCGAAGAACGUUGAAUAUACUGUGGACUGCCAGCAGAAGGAACACAUCUGUCUUGGAAGAAGUACAGUCUGACUGCUCUUUAGAAGCAAGGAUGGCAAGACUUAGUCUCACAUACUUUGGACAUGUUAUCAGGAGGGACCAGUCCCUGGAGAAGGUCAUCAUGCCUGGUAGAGAUGGUCAGCAAAAAAGAGGAAGACCUUUAAUGAGAUGGAUUGACACAGUUGCUGCAAUAAUAGCCUCAAGCAUAACAACAUUUGUGAGGUUGGUGCAGGACUAGGCACUGUUUUGUUCUGUUGUACAUAGGGUUGCUAUGAGUUGGAACUGACUUGAUGGCACCUAACAGCAAUAAUAUAUAAAUAUUGACUUGGAAACGUAUUUAUCCCAUUUGUAUAAAACACAUCUCAUUUGUAUAAAAGCAUAUAUAUGGUAGUAUAUGGUGAUAACAUUUCUGGAAGGUUAGCAGCAUUUUGUUCCACUGUGCAUAAGAUCACCAUGAGUGUGGGGCCACAGCUGGUAAAAACAACAACCUAUGAACUUGUUAGCAGUGGUAACCUAUGAGGAGUAGAAGGGGGUGGGGAAGGGAGACUUAGUUUUCUUUAACUUUCUAUUCUUCUGUACUGUUGAAGAACUUUUUAAGCCAUAUUCAUGUUUUACUUCUUAUAAAAAAUUAAAAUGAAAUUCUCUCCCUAUUAUUUUGCAACACACACUUUGUGUGGACUAUUUCCCAGGGUUUUUCUUAACUGCCUGUUUGUUUUACUCGUGUGUGUGUGAGCGCGUGCGUGUGCAUGCACACAGGCCGUGUGUUUAGGAGGGGCUGCCAUGAGUUGGUAUCAACUAGAGGGCAAUGGUUUUGGUUUUGGGAGCAAGCAGAACGGCAGAACAUGCAUGAAGCCAUCAGUCAACAUUAUCUUUUCAACAUUGUGAGAUUCUGCUUUUAAAUCAGGCUCUUUCUCUGGAGCUCUCUUCUCCUACCACCUGCGAAUUCAUUUGCUAACUACAGAGUUCCAUAUGUGGGCUUUUUACCACUCCCACCUUCCGCUCCCCACGCUCCCAUCCCUUUGUCUGCUCUUGUUCCUCUUAGAAUAAACUUAAUUGCACAGAGCCCUGUGAGAGCCCUUGAUAGGGACCCACUGGGAUUCAUGAUGCAGCUGUGGCUCAGCUGGCGAGCCUCUGGAAGGCUCAUGAGGGGUACUUGAUGAGAAGAGCUUAGCUUGCUCUCUGGUUUUGAUUGAAAACGUGCAUGAAAGGGAAGCACCUGCUCAGUUCUGAUGAGGGGCCCAGAUCUGCUGCUUCUCAGACUUAAAAUCCCCAACAUGCUCUGGAAUGAGACCAUAUUUUUCUUGAUAUGAGGCAGCCCUUCUGAUUGAGUGCUGCGUCCCUGGCUGCCUGUUGUUGUGUAAUUGUUACACAUGAUCAUGCUAUUUACAGCACCAGCACCUUGGCCUUGUUUUAGAAGCAAGGAGUUGUGCCAUUUAUGGUUUUGCAAUUAAAGAGGCAAGCCACACAGCUCAUGAAUAAAAACUGGGUACACCCUCUUGAAAUAAUUGUCAUAUUUAAUGACAAAUUAGCUUAGGAGAGGUAAAGACAUACCCAAGCUCUUUACCAAAUUGCUCUUGUUGUUGUUAUUAAAGCACUUAACUUGGGGCUUGUUAUGGAUUGAAUUAUGUCCCUCGAAAUAUGUCUCAACUUGGGUAGGCCAUGAUUCCCAGUAUUGUGUGGUUGUCCUCCAUUUUGUGAUCUGAUGUAAUUUUCCUAUGUGUUAUAAAUCCUAAUCUCUGCCUGUGGUUAAUGAGGCAAGACUAAAAAAAAAAAAAAAAAAUGAGGCAAGACUAGGUUAUGUUAAAGAGGACUAGGAUGGGCUGUAACACCUUUACCUCAGGUCAAAGCCCUGAUCUGAUGUAAGUGGAGUUUCCUGAGGGUGUGGCCUGCAUCACCUUUUAUCUUACAAGAGUUAAAAGGAGAGAGAAGGGAGCAGAGAGAUAGGGACCUCAUACCACCAAGAAAGAAGUGCUGGGAGUGGAGCAUGUCCUUUGGACCCAGGGUCCCUGUGCUGAGAAGCUUCUAGAGCGGGGGGGUGAUUGAUGACAAGGAACUUUCCCCGGAGCCGACAGAGACAGGAAGCCUUCACCUGGAGCUGGCACCUGAAUUUGGGCUUCUAGCCUUCUAGACUGUGAGAGAAUAAAUUUCUGUUUGUUAAAGCCAUCCACUUGUGGUAUUUCUAUUAUAGCAGCACUAGAUGACUAAGACAGGGCCAUUUUCAAUGGACUUGAAUCAAAAUUACCGUGUUCCUUCUUCCCUAAAGAAUAUGUUUUGCGUUAGGGCCCCAGGCAUGUCAGAAGUGUAUAUGUGGACCGCAGGUUGCCAGUCCUGGCCUUGGAAUCACGUUUUCCAACAAAGGACCAGAAAAUCAAGGUACUCUUGCAGAUUCACCAGGCACAGAUAUUGAGCAAGGCAUUUGGUUUUGGCUGGGCCUAGCCUUUAAUACCAACCCAUUGCUACUGAGUCGACUAUGACUCACAGUGACCCGGUAGGACAGAGUAGAACUGCCCCACAGGGUUUCUAAGGAGCAGCUGGUGGAUUCAAGCUUUGAUAGUACAACCAAAUAUUGGUUUGUUUUUAGUGUUCAGUUUUUCUAGUUUUUUUUUUUUUUGUCAGCCUCGGUGAAUUUACCAGAAAGUUUAGAAAAUGGAUACAAGUGGUGGAGAUCUCAAUCCGCUUCAGUUGAGUUUGUUGUUAAGCACAGUAGGUACUUCAGAGAUAUGGCCUUUUGCCCAUUUUCUCUAGUCUCUUUCCUAGAAAUCACUUAAAAUUUUAGAGACCCUAAAGAAAGCUAGGAAUGGGAAUGGCAAUAGCAUGUAAGAAGAGAGAGACUUUUAGACCAUGGGCCAGUCAAGGGGUCACCCUUUCAACCCAACAUUGGCAGUCUGCAAAAAUAAAUUUAAAAAAGUGUUGCCUUAGAUAAUGUUAACUGUUUGAAGUCAGUGAGGUUUCAGUAUUUUUUCUAAGGGGGAAUGACUAAAGCAUAUACCCUUGAGCCACAGUCCCUUUGGAUAUGUCAACAGAGGCUUGGAGGAAAUGGCUAACAUGUCUAGGAUGAACUAGACCCUUGGAGUAGGGCUGACCUUUGGAGCUACCCUCAGCGCUCCCUGAAAGAUGUAUUUGUGACCCUUAAGAUGGAUGUCCUUCACAAGCUGAAGCCUCCUCCUCCCGUUCUGGGCUCCUCUCUAACUUCUAGAGGGCCCCUCUCCCGGGCUGUUCAUCCUCCAGGGUUCUUCUCAUCUUCCUUCUGGCUGUGCCUACUUCUGUUGGCUCCUCACCAAGCCUGGCUCUCGCCCCAAGCACCCCAAUCCUAAAUUUUUUUCUCCCGUCUUUUCAUCUAAUACUCAUUUAUUCUAUGCAGGCUCAGCUUAACCAGGAGUCAGAAAGAAGCAGGUAUUAAGAGAAAACCCGAGGAAAUCAGUGAGGGGUGCAAAUGACUGAUGAACUUAACCUGCUUUGCAGUUUUGAAAGAGGAACACAUGAACCCAAAUUCAUCAUGAUUGGUGAAAUAUGAAGGAGAUGAGAGGUUUUCUGAGCAGAGGGGCUGGCUCAGUGCUUUCUUGCUGGGCUUCCAGAUGCCUCCGUGGAUAAUGUUGCUGUGGUCUUUGGUUGUUCCUGAGCUGGGGUUGGAGCAGCCUCAUCACCUUGGAAAUACUGCCAGAAGUUUGGGAUCCAGGACUCCUGGGAUGGGAAUGGGGUACUGCAUGAAUACCCUGAGGGUGGAAGUCAAGAUAAUGGCUAAGCCAGACUGCUUUUUGUCCAAAACAGCCUUAUGGGGUCCAGAGGCUACAUUGUUUACAGGGAGGAGCCCUGGCAUGAGCUGGCAGGCAGCACCUGGCACAUCAGUGAGUGUCAUGAUAGGAGAAUGUGGACAGCUAACUGAGGGUGCCCAGGAAUCUUUCCCAUCUGACUGGGAUUAGGUAAGGUAGGAGCAUUUGAGAAAUGAUCGCCCUUUUAUCUGGCAGAUCCUUGGCUGAUGUUGAAACACUGGCUGUUGUUCAUACCACUGACUCUACCUGUUCCUCUGCCCUAGUUUGAAAAGUUUUUCUUGGUUUCUUGUUUCCCCUGUUCCCAAUCCCUUUGACUCUUCUCCCAGCUACAGAGAGUGGAGAACAGGGUUAUGUAGAUCACCAGGAAGGGAAGCAAGCAGAACCUCUGCUUGUGGCAUCCACCCUUCUUCAUUUUAUUUGCUCAGGAUAUUUCACCUCCAUCUGUCUGUGUUUGUCUUUAUGUGAACUUCUCAUUUGACAGUGGGUGAGAUCUGGUCAUUGGGAGGAGGUGGUUCAGGCCCAAAUGUAUUUAGGCUUUUAAUUGCUGAGUGUCUGAAAUCAUAGCAUUUCAUUGACUCCUCAGACCUCACCUUAAUAUCUUAAACCGUGACAUAGUACUUAUCUUUUACCUGUUUUAUAGUGAUGCUUGAGGAAUAAAAAGCACCUCUAGCUAUGUAGAAACUAGAGAAGGCAUAUAUGAAACCCUUUCAGAGUGAUCAUUUUUUGCUGAACUCCUGCCUGCAGGUGCACAUAGCAGUUGACACUGUUGUUUUUUUAACCAGUCAUGGCGGCUAUGAUGCUGUGCUUACCAUGUCCUUGUACUUAAUCUUUGCAUAGUGCUUGUUUUUACAGAGUGCUUUCACAUAUAACAUUUGAGCUGCACAGGCCUGUGGUAUUGGCAAGGUGGGUAUCUCCCAUUUUAUAGCUGGUGAAAGUGAGGUCAGGGAGGUUAAAAGACUUGCUAGUCAGGAUGGAACUGGAAUUCAGACCCAGAGCCCGUGCUCUUUCCACUCUGCCAUUCUGCAUAUAUUGCUGUACAGAUCAGUAAGGAACUUUUGUUAUGGAGUCUUGGGUCAUACUCAUUUUAUUUGGGAGGUUUCAAAUAGGAAACUCACACUUGGCAGAUGGAUUCAUUUGUUUUGUUGUGUGAGUUCAGUGGGCAUGCCAUUGAUACGGUCAAAAGUGACUAUUUCUCUUGGAGGCCAGAUGUAGACAUUGUGACAAUAGCAAUAAACACAGGGUUUGCCCUCGAGGAUCCUACUGAGGAGAGAUUGACAACAAAUAAAUAUAAUGUCAGGUGGUGAUAGUGCUUUGAAGAAAAAUAAGGCAAUGUCAGCAGGCAGAAAGUGACUCUGAGCUAGACAUUAGAGACCUGAAUGAGGUGAGGGAGUGAGUCUUGUAAAGGACAUUCCAGGCAGAGGGAACAGCAGAUGCAAAGACUCUGAGCCAGGAAUGAGCUUGGUAUAUCCCAGUAACAGCAAGAAGACCAGUGUGGCUGUAGUAGAGGGAGCAAGAGAAAGAAUGUGGCCAUAUGACAUGGGAGAAAUUAGCAAGGGCCAGACCAUGUAGGGCCCUGUAGGCCUUGGUGAGAAUUUUAAAUUUUGUUCUAAGAGGGAUGAGGAUCACUUUCAAACUAAACAAGUAGAAAAUACAUAUUUGUCUUUUAUCUUUGCAAGGUUUUUUUUUGUCCCUUUGACCCAUUACUCACAAAUCUGGGAAGCUCACAUUUCUUGGGAGUCCUGAGCAGGCCUGGCCUUAAAAGGCUUCCCCAUGCCCUCUAUUCAAGACAGUUCUCCAUGGGGCCCUCACAUCUCCGUAUAUUUUGUGAGCAGAGGUGCUGUCUGCCCUUCCUUUAGGACUAUGUUUUCAACGAUGUUUAUAUAGCAAACAGCUUUGGGAGAUAGAGAUAGUGCCUCCCUCUGGAACAAAGUUCAGACAGGCUUACUACCCAUUAUAAAAGAUUCAGAUUCCCUAAAUUCAGAGUUCCUUUCCUGUAAUGCAACCUACUGCAUGUGCAGGUAUCAUUUGGCCUUCUUUGCAUCACCGUGUGGGAACUGGAACUCAAAGAACUGGCACAAAAAAUGCCAAUCUACUGUUGCUGUUAUUGUAAAGUGUCUUGUCUCUGGCCCAGGAGUCUCAUGUCUUUUGCCAGCAUUCAUGAAGCUCUGGCAGGAUAACUUGUUAAUUUCAAAAUUCCUGACAUUCUUAAAAUAACUUCCAAACUGGCAUCAUGACUGAGAUCUUGACCAUGGGUCAAUGGCUUUGGCAUAUGUCUGUGGUUUUUAAACUUUUUUUCUAUUAUCUUUGGAACUUUUUUCCCUGAAAUGAAAUCUGCUGAGGAAACUAAUAAAAUGAAAACUUCUCUGGUUGAAGUAGGGGUAGGAGCCUGAAUUUCUCCAUCCUAUGCAGCCCCCAGGCAUCUCUGGAGAAGCACCUGACAUAGUUUCUGAAACACUGUCAAGCCACCAAACCACCAGUUGCCCUUGAGUCGUCUCUGAUUUGUGGUGACGCUAUGUGUGUCAGAGUAGAACUGUGCUCCAAAGGGUUCUCAAUGGCCGAUUUUUCAGGAGUAGAUUGCCCAGCCUUUCUUCUGAGGUACCUCUUGAUGGACUCAAACCUCCAACCUAGCAGUUGGUAGCUGAGCACAUUAACCAUUUGUACUACCCAGGGACUCUCCAAGCUGCUAAAGGUCUCUUUACAACUCAAAUCUGAUAUGUGGGAACAAUAACACAUUAAACUCUUAUCAGAGACAAUUGGUUAUGUUUUAGCAAAAAUUAAUUUGCUAGUCGUUAAUAGGUCAGGACAAAUUAGUUUCUCAAAGAGUAGACCCUAAAUGGGAAUGCAAUCCAGGAUUAAUAAAUUUUGGUUGCAGGAUUUGGAGGGAGGGCCCAGCAGUGGCGGGCCCUGGGUGUUUGAGCAGGGCUAAGAGGUAGAGGAGGGAGGGUGCUAGAAAUAAGGUUGUCCUGAGAGGAUGGUAGGUGGUAAAUAAAAUCACAUUUCAAUUGCUUGGUUUCCUUGAUCCUCUGGACCUCUUGGAGCUUCCCAGGAACUUAGAGUGGGGCUGGGCAGAGAGAGAGAUAAGUGUCUGCUCACCCGACACCCUUACUUUCAUGUGUAUUAUAUGUUGGGGUUCUGUGUGAGACAUCAUUUGGAAAAAUUACUCUCCUACUGAAACAAGUUUGAAAGUUCACCGACUUCACUUUGUUACCUGGGGCUCUGGCAGUUUGUUCUAAAAAGUAAAGAAGAUGGUUGUUUCACAGAGCACAAGCAGGAGGGUGGCCCAGCAGAAAGAAUUCUCGGGUUCAGGCCCAAUUCUACUACCAACUCUUGGCUAUACUGCUAAUUUGCUGUGUGACCUUUGGCAGGCCCCUCAACCUCUCUGGGCCUGAUUUCUCAUCUGACAGGAGGGAGGUAUGGGGAACAUGACCUCAAAAGUCCCAAUAUUUAAAGGCCUAUGAUAUGUGAUGUGGCUUUUAACCCAAGAAACAUUAAGUGUUGUACUCUUGGUCUUUUAAGGAGCCAGGCUUCAUUCAUGCCAUUUGAGCAAGAUGCUUGUACUGUGACUGGAGUUGGGGCAUCUUUGAGAGUAUAUCAGGUAUGUUUGAUUUCCAUGCUGGGGUCAGCAAACUAUGGUCCACAGGCCAAAUCCAGCUUGCCACCUGUUUUUGUAAAGAAGUUUUAUUGGAACAGAGACAUGCUUAUUUGUUUACGUGUUGUCUUUGACUGCUUUUGUGCUACAGUGACAAAAUUGAGCAGUUGUGACAAAGACUUUACAUCUUGCAAAGCAUAAAAUAUUUACUCUCUGGUUCUUUACAGAAAAAGUUUGCUGAGCUUUGCUCAAGGAUAUCCAUGCUUUGCCUUUGGUUUGUUCUUAAUAGAACCAAUGAUUUUGCUAAUUUAAUUUUUCAUACAAAUAGGGUACUUAACCCCUUUGAGGAGGGUGUGUUAUGUCCACUGACUUGUGAUACGUUGGAAGAAGAGAUCCUCUUUAGAAAGAGAGCGUUUUCUAACAUUUUCAUUUAUGAGUGCAGAACAUUUUUUUUUCAUUUACUGAUGGUUUUUUCUUUUGAGAAACAAUUAUACAAUUAUCUAUUAUGUGAGAUUAGACUAAGCUAAAACAAUACACUGUAAUUUCCAAACAUGGUAAAGUGUACCCAGGCAUGGAUUACUGCCACAGCAUUUAUUUUCUCCUCCACAUUGUGGAAUUUUCAAUUCAUAAGAAUUGUGUUAGGGGCUUUGUUUGAAUUAAUUAAAGCCUGCCAUGUUGAUAAGCAACCAGGCCAGUGACUGACAAGUCAAAGUUCUUGAAAAUUGAAAUGGCUGCUGAAUUCAGGAUUCACAAGGCUGCUUCCUAACUGGCUUGGCAAAGAGUCAUCCAUGUGUCUACAAUAGCCAAUAAAGACGAGGUAAUUAUAAACAAAUGUGUUAACCAGCUAGUUCUCAAGUAGUUUCAGGACCACUUCAGCAUCAGUAGUUAUUUUGCCUUGAGGCUUGUGGCAUUACAUCAUGCUUUAGGCUUUGUUGGGGUAACCCCCAAACACUUGAGUGGGGAAGCAGCAUCCACAGGCUUGGUUGAAGAAUAUGGAGGAGUAAAAAACAGGCAGUGAAUGAGAUACUGGAAUUGUAAGGGAAAAUGUUUCACAAAGCCUGGAUUUAAAUAAUUAAGCCCAGCUGUUAAAAAAAACCCUGUUUUCAUUGACAAGUGACACAGAGGGCAAGCAUCUCGUGUCUCCUGUGAAAGAGUUGUGUUCGUAGGGGUAUAGUAACCUGGAGAUGUGCUUGGUAUGAUUGGAGAAGUGGUUUAGUUUGCAACUCUAUGUCUUAAAAAAGGAUAUGGAUAAUUUAGAGAAAGUCUGGGAUGGACAAUGAAAAUACAGAAAAAUUUGAAAGCAGGAAUCAAGUGAUGGGGGUGGGGUGAGCAAAACACAGGUUGUCAGAUCAGAUACACAUGGAUCAUAGAUCUUACCGAGUAUCAAGCUUUACUUAUAAUUUCAGAGACACAGGCAAUCAAGAUGAAGCAGAAAAAAGCAUGAGGUGCUGAGAAGGUCUUCCUAGAACCUUCCUUUUCUCAUUGGACAUUGUAAAAAAUGGCAUGGGGGCAGUGUCCAACCUCCCCUUAACUUUACAAGGGGGAAGGAGAAUCAAAACCAUCAGCCCAAGGCUGAUUCCUAUGAGGCACAGAGGUUAGAUAUGCCUCCUGUGUCCACUAUCUUUACUAAUUCUGACACCAACCAUCCCUCCCACAGCACUCUCUACUUCUUUGCUGGGUGGGAAAAUUCAUUACAAUGGCCACACAGAACUCACAGACCAUACUCACGAUUAUGGGGUUUAUUAGGGAAAUAACAGGUUACAAUUCAGGCUCAAGAACACUCAAGGAUAUGGUUCUUCCAUCAGGGCAGCCUCUUCCCUCCUGUGCUCACAGGCUUGCCUCUCCCUGGCUCUAGGCCUCUGCCCAAAGGCAUUCAUUCAGCUUUCUCUCUCCGGUGGGCUGGGAAGCGCACCGACGCAUCUCCUACUGCUGGGUUUCUACUGCCAGGUCUUUCCUGCCACUGCUUCUCACUGUCUUCAGGGUUAUAGCACAUUCUCUCUCUUGGUCUCUUGCUUCCAGGAACUUCUCUUGCUUCCAGGGAUCCCAGGUCUAAAGGAUUGCUGGCUUCUGGCUUUUCUUCCUUGGUGGUGGUAGGACCUUAUUUUUCCUGCCUCUGGGGUGGCUCAUUUCAAGCUCAGCAGGAUGGCAAAACUGACCAAUCCCUUUGGUGGGCCACAAUUAUCCUAUCAUACAGUCUCACCCAAUCACUUGGGUAGGCUAGAAAGGCCACACAAAAGUGAUCCAUCACACCAUAGACAUGUACCUCUCCUCAAUGAUAGAUGAGUCUAAGUGAGGUUCACUGGGUUACCAUGCACAGUAGGAAGCAUUUAAAUUAUGAAAGAGCUCCAUUUUAUACCCCUGAUUGUUGUGUAGCAUGCAUGACAUUCUCCAAGGAGCCAUGCCUCAUAAAUUUUGGGUGGCUUGGUUCUAAGUAAUUGCUUGGCCAGAGACAUCCUGCUAAAGUGUUCCUUAGAUGAAUUAGAUGAAUUCUCUUUCUCCUACCAAAUAUCAUUAGCUACCUGAGGAGUCCCAGGAGGUGCAAAUGGUUAAAGCACUCAGCUGCAAACCAAAAGUUUGGAUGUUUAAUUCCACCCAGAGUUGCCUUGAGAAAAAGGCCUGGUGAUAUAUUUCAGAAAAUUAGCCAUUGAAAACCCAAUAGCCAACAUUAUACUUAAUGGAGAAAGACUGAGAGCUUUCCCACUGGAAACUGGAACAAGACAAGGGUGCCUGCUCUCACCACUUCUGUUCAAUAUUGUAUUAGAAGCCCUAACAAGAGUAAUAAGACAAGAACAAGAAAUAAUAGGUAUCCAGAUUGAAAAAGAAGAAGUAAAAUUAUCUCUAUUCACAGGUAAUAUGAUCCUAUGUAUAGAAAAUCCCCAAAAUUCCACGAACUUCUAAAGCUAGUAGAGAAAUUUAGCAAAGUUGCAGGGUACAAGGUCAACAAACAAAAAUCAGUUGGGUUUCAAUACACUAGCAAUGAGAAAUCUGAAAGGAAACAAUUCCAUUUACAAUAGCAUUUAAGAGAAUAAAAUACCUAGGAAUAAAUCUGACCAGGGUUGUAAAGGACUUAUAUAAUGAAAACUAUAAAACACUGCUGGAAGAGAUUAAAGAAGACUUAAAUAAAUGGAAAGAUGUUCCAUGUUCAUGGAUUGGAAGACUUAAUAUCUUUAAGAUGUCAGUACUACCCAAAGCGAUCUAUAGAUUCAGUGUAAUCCUGAUCAAAAUUCCAACAGCCUUCUUUACAGAAAUAGAAAACCCAAUUCUCAACUUUAUAUUGUAAUGGCAAGAGACCUCAAAUAUCUAAAGCAAUGUUGAAAGAGAAGAACAAAGUAGGAGGACUCACACUUCCUGAUUUUAAAUCAUAUUGUAUGGUUAAAGUAAUCAAAACAGCCUGGUACUGGCAUAACAAUAGACACAUAGACUAGCAGAAUAGAAUGGAAAGCCUAGAAAUAAACACUCACAUCUACGAUCAGCCAGUUUUUGGCAAGGGUGCUAAGUCCAUUCGAUGGGGAAGGAAGAGUCUCUUCUAUAAAUGGUACUGGGAAAAUUGAUUUCCACAUGCAGCAAAAUGAAAUAGGAUCCAUGCCUUACACCAUAUGCAAAAACAAAUUCAAAAUGGAUUAAGGAUCUAAACGUUCAAGCUAAAACUGUAAAAUUCUUAGAAGAACAAGCAGGGGCAAUGCUGUCAGGCCUAGCUUUUAAUAAUGGGAUUAUCUAAUAUAAUAACAAAAGCACAAGCAGCAAAAGACAAAUGGAACCUCAUAAAAAUUAAAAACUUUUGUUCAUCAAAAGCCUUUUCCAAAAAAGUGAAAAGACAAGCUACUGACUAGGAGCAUAUCUUAUAAGCCAUAUAUCAGACAAGAACCUAAUAACCAAAAUACAUAUAAAACUUUGACAACCUAACAACAGAAAGACAACUCAGUCAUAAAAUGGGCAAAGGAAUUGAAUAGACAUUUCACCAAAGAGAACAUUCACAUGGCCACCAAGCAUAUGAAAAGAGGCUGAACAUCAUUAGCCAUCUGAGAGAUGCAAAUCAAAUCCACAGUGAGAUACCAUUUCACCCCCACCGGGAUGGCUAAGAUUAAAAAAAAAAAGAAAUGUUGGCAAGGAUGUUGAGAAAUUGGAACCCUUACGCAUUGCUGGUGGGAAUGCAAAAUGAUACAGCCAUUGUGGUAAACAAUGUGGCAGUUUCUCAUAAAAAUAAAAAUAGAAAUUAUGACCCAGCAAUUCCACUCCUACUUAUAUACCCAAAAGACUUUAAAGCAGAGACUCAGAGACUUAUACAUCAAUAUUCAUUGCAGCACUAUUCACAAUAGUCAAAAGGUAGAAACAACCUAAAUGCCCAUCAACAGAUGAAAUGGGUAAACAAAAUGUGGUAUGUACAUAUGAUGGACUACUACUCAGCCAGUAGGAGAAAUGAAGUCUUGAUACAUGCUACAAUAUGGAUGGAGCUGGAAGACAUUAUGCUGAGUGAAAUAAGUCAAUCACAAAAGGACAAAUAUUGUAUGACCUCACUUACAUAAAAAGACAAAUGUAUAGAGACCAAAGUUUAUCAGUGGUUACCAGGGUAGAAGGGAGGGAGUAACGGGGGGUUAACUUCGAUGGAAAAAUCAUAUUGAUUAAAGGUACUGUUGCACAGCUGAUUAUUGUAAUUGCUGUCUAUAAGUUGUACACCUGUAAAAAGUUGAAUUGGCAAAAGUUGUGUGAUAGGUAUAUUUAUAACAAUCACAAAAAAAGAAAGAGUAGCUGCUGAGGCUGAUUAUAUACAGUCAGGUACCUCAUGGGAUUUGGUUUCUUGGUUUACAGGUUUUGGGUCAUGGUUUCAUGGAAUAUCCCAGUUAAUUGGCCUUAUAACUGGCCUUAUAACUGUGUGUAGUGUCUGGAUCUUAAAAGCUUGCAAGCAGCCACCGAAGGCAUAACAAUUGAUCUCUGUUCACCUGGAACAACAGCAAAAGAAAGAGAGUCAGAAAUAGGAGAAGGAUAUGGAAUAUGUGGGUAAUUGCCUCCAUGAGCAACUGCCUCCCUUGCCGUGAGACCAGAAGAACUGGAUGGUGCCUGGCUACCAUAACUGAACAGUUUGAUCAAAGAUUCCAUAGAAGAAUCCUGAUCAAAAGGGGGAAAAUGGAAACCAGAAUUUCAAAUUCUCAUGGAAUCCAGAUCCCUGGAGCCAUGAAGGUUGGAUGAACCCCUGAAACUAUUGCCCUGAGAUAAUCUUUAAACCUUAAGCCAAAAAUAUCUCCUGAUGUCUUCUUAAAAACAAAUAAUAGUUUAGCUGAACUAGCAAAAAAGUUCUACCUUGAGCAUUGUGCUUUUUUAAGCCCCCCAAAAACCUGUUGCCUUCAAGUCAAAUCCAAUUCAUAGCAACCCUACAGGACAGAGAAGAACUGCCCCAUAGGGUUUCCAAGGAGUGCCUGGUGGAUUCAAACUGCCAACCUUUUGGUUAGCAGCUGUAGCUCUUAACCAGUACACCACCAAGGUUUUCCAAGAACUAUCUAUAUGGGAUCAAAUUGACAACAGCAACUUGAAAGAUUAGAUAGGAACCUUAUGGGGCAGCGAAUUUAUGUCAAUGAGGAAGGAACAACUCAGAAAAGGAGGGUGAGAAUGGUUAUACAACUCAGAGAAUGUAAUUAGUGUCUCUAAAUGGUACAUGUAGAAACUGUUGCAUUGGUGUAUGUUUUGCUGUGUGUAUUCUCAGCAACAAAAUAAAUAAAAUUAUAUAUAUAAAAUUCAGUAAUGAGGGACAAAGGGACAUUGUGUGCUUUCAGAUGUGAUACUGUGAGAAAGACACACCCUAAUCCGGGUUCUAGCAGAGUAAGAAUAACCUGAACCUAAUCACAGGAAAAUAUCAGACAAGCUCAAAAUGAGGAAUGUUCUUUAAAAAAAAAAAAGAUGGUUGCACAACUCAAAGAAUGUAAUAAUGUCACUGAAUUGUGCAUGUAGAAAUGGUUGAAUUGGUGUAUAUUCUGCUAUUUAUAUUCUCAACAACAACAAAAUAAACUUAAAAAAAAAGAAAAGAAAGAAAACCAUGUGGAGCACAGUUCUACUCUGACCCACAUAGGGUUGCCAUGAAUCAGAGUUGACUUGGUGGUAACUGGUUGGUUGGUAGUUACCUGGAGGUUCAGUUGAUGUGGAAAUUUGAUAGGGUCACCUGCCUUCUUUCCUUUCCCUGGGAAAUAAAUGGAGUGAAUAGGUCACAGGCCAGUUGCUUUAACUCCUUCUUCCUAGGGGGUGAAGUUAAAAGGAACUAGGAUUAUUCAGGGUCAAGCAGGAAUAAACAUUGACAGCUUUCACAUAUAAACCCAUUGCCAUUGAGUUGAUUCCGACUUGUAGUGACCCUAUAGGACAGAGUAGAACUGCCCCAAAGAAUUUCCAAGGAGCAGCUGGUGGAUUCAACUGUCAGCCUUUUUGGUUAGCAGCCGUAGCACUUAACCACUAUGCCACCAGGGCUCCAUAUAGGAAGAGUAAUUAUAAGUAGGGUCACUGGUGAUAAGAUAUCCUGGACGGUUAAUCAGAGAAAGUGGGUUACCACUAUAAUAAGCAGUAUUUAGGUUGAAAAAGGAAAAGCUUUCAGAUUUUUAGGGUUGUUAGAUAGUGAAACAAAGUGUGGCUUUCUAAUUUCUUCCUCUCCUCUUUUUCCCUUGUCUUCCUCCCUGGUUCUCCUGAGUGCCCACCCUCCCCUCCCCCAUCACACACAUCUCUAGAGAUGACUUCAGCUUCAGUGGGACCCCUGUCUUUGUCACCACCCUGUCCUGGCUCUAUCUUCCUGCUCCCUGUUUGCCUCCUCUCUUGGAACCUGACAGAGAUCUUGGAAUACAGAAUAAUACAGUAAUACAGAGUAAACUCUAUCAAGAGAAAUAACCUAUGAGUGAUUGGAGUACCAGAACAGGGAGGGAUAACAGGAAAUACAGAGAGAAUUAUUGAAGAUUUGUUGGCAGAAAACUUCCCUGAUAUCAUGAAGGAUGAGAAGAUAUCUAUCCAAGAUGCUCAUUAAACUCCACGUAAGGUAGAUCUUAAAAGAAAGUCACCAAGAUAUGUUAUAAUCAAACUUGCCAAAACCAAAGAUAAAGAGAGGAUUUUAAGAGCAGCUAGGAAUAAAUGACAAGUCACCUACAAAGGAGAGUCAGUAAGAAUAAGCUCGGACUAUUCAGCAGAAACCAUACAGGCAAGAAGGCAAUGGGAUGACUUAUAUAAAGCAUUGAAGGAAAAAAAUUGCCAGCCAAGAAUCCUAUAUCCAGUAAAACUGUCUCUCAGAUAUGAAGGCAAAAUUAGGACAUUUCCAGAUAAGCAGAAGUUUAGGGAAUUCAUUAAAACCAAACCAAAACUACAAGAAAUACUAAAGGGAAUUCUAUGGUUAGAAAAUCAAUGAUAUCAGAUAUCAACCCAAGACUAGAACACUGGACAGAGCAAUCAGAUGUCAACACAGAGAGGGAAUCACAAAAAUAAAUCAAGAUAAAAAAAAUGCUCAAAACAGGGAAACAGUGAUGUCAUUAUGCAAAGGCAGACAACAUUAAAACAAUAAUGAGCGACUGAGAAAUGUAGUCAUAGAUCUUUCAUAUGGAGAGGAAGUCAAGGCGAUAAAAAGAAAUUGAAGUUAGGUUUAAACUUAGAAAAAUAGGGGUAAAUGUUAAGGUAACCACAAAGGAGACUAGCAAUCCUACUCAUCAAAAUAAAACACAAGAAAAAAACAGAGAUUCAGCAGAAACAAAAUCAAAUACAACGAAUAAGAGGAAAACACGAUAUAUAAAGACAAACUACUCAGCACAAAAAAUUAAGUGGGUGACAGAAACUGUCAACAACACAUAAAAGAAGAGAUCAAAAUGACAGCACUAAACUCAUACCUAUCCGUAAUUACGCUGAAUGUUAGUGGACUAAAUGAACCAAUAAAGAGACAGAGAGUGGCAGAAUGGAUUAAAAAACAAAAAACAAACAAACAAAAAAACACGAUCCGUCUAUAUGCUACCUACAAGAGACACACCCUAGACUUAGAGACACAAAAAAACUCAAAGGAUGGGAAAAAAAAAAUAUCAAGCAAACAACAAUCAAAAAAGAGGAGUGGCAAUGUUAAUUUCUGACAAAAUUGAUUUUAAAGUUAAAUCCACCACAAAGAAUAAGGAAGGACACUAUAUAAUGAUUAAAGGGACAAUAUACCAGGAAAAAAAAAAUUUUUUUUUUUUUUAUACCAGGAGGAUAUAACCAUAUUAAAUACUUAUGCACCCAAUGACAGGGCUGCAAGACACUUAAACUCUAAUAGCACUGAAAAGUGAGAUAGACAGCUCCACAAUUAGAGUAGGAGACUUAAACACACCACUUUUGGUGAAGGACAGAACAUCCAGAAAGAAGCUCAAUAAAGACACGGAAGACCUAAAUGCCACAAUCAACCAACUUGGCCUCAUAGACAUAUACACAACACUCCAUCCAACAGCAACCAAGUAUACUUUCUUUUCCAAAGCACAUGGAACAUUCUCUAGAAUAGACCGCAUAUUAGGUCAUAAAGCAAGCCUUAGCAGGAUCCAAAACAUCGAAAUAUUAUAAAGCAUCUUCUUUGACCAUAAAGCCAUAAAAGUAGAAAUCAAUAACAGAAGAAGCAGAGAAAAGAAAUCAAACACUUAGAAACUGAACAAUACCCUGCUCAAAAAAACGACGGGUUAUAGAAGACAUCAAGGAUGGAAUAAAGAAAUUCAUAGAAUCCAAUGAGAAUGACAACACUUCCUGUCAGAGCCUUUCUGACAUAGCGAAAAUAGUGGUCAGAGGUCAGUUUAUAUCAAUAAAUGCACACAUGGAAAAAGAAGAAAGGGCCAAAAUCAAAGAAUUAGCCCUACAACUUGAACAAAUAGAAAGAGAGCAACAAGAGAAACUGUCAGGCAGCAGAAGAAAGCAAAUAAAAAUUAGAGCAGAAUUAAAUGAAAUAGAGAAUACAAAAACAGUUGAAAGAGUUAAGACCAAAAGCUGGUUCUUUGAAAAAAUUAACAAAAUUGAUAAACCAUUGUCAAACUGACAAAAGAAAAACAGGAGAGGAGGCAAAUAACCCAAAUAAGAAAUGAGUUGAGCGAUAUUACAACAGACCCAACUGUAAUUAAAAGAAUCAUAUCUGAUUACUAUGAAAAAUUGUACUCCUAACAAAUUUGAAAACUUAGAAGAAAUGGGUGAAUUUCUAGAAACACACUACCUACCUAAACUUACACAGAGGUAGAACAAGUAAAUAAACCCAUAACAAAAGAAGAGAUGGAAAAGGUAAUUAAAAAACUCCAAACAAACAAAAGAAAUGCCCUGGCCUGGAGGGCUUCACUGCAGAGUUCUACCAAACUUUCAGAGAAGAGUUAACACCACUACUACUAAAGAUAUUUCAGAGCAUAGAAAAGGAUGGGAUACUCCCAGAUACUCUCAAACUCAUUCUAUGAAGCCAGCAUAUCCCUGAUACCAAAACCAGGUAAAGACACCACAAAAAAAGAAAAUUACAGACCUGUAUCCCUCACAAACUUAGAUGCAAAAAUCCUCAACAAAAUUCUAGCCAGUAGAAUUCAACAACAUAUCAAAAUAGAUAGAUAGAUGGAUAGAUAGGUAGCAAUUCUGAUCCAAAUUCCAAUGACAUUUUUUAAUGAGGUGGAGAAACAUCACCAACUUCAUAUGGAAGGGAUAAGUAAAGCAUUGCUGAAAAAGAAGAACAAAGUGGGAGGCCUCACUCUAUCUAAUUUUAGAACCUAUUAUACGGCCACAAUAGUCAAAACAGCGUGGUACUGGUACAACAACAGAUACAUAGACCAAUGGGACUGAAUUGAGAAUCCAGACAUAAAUCCAUCCACAUAUGAGAGCUGAUAUUUGACAAAGGCCCAAAGUCAGUUAAAUGGGGAAAAGACAGUCUUUAUAACAAAUGGUGCUGGCAUAACUGAAUAUCCAUCUCCAAAAAAAUGAAACAAGACCCAUACCUCACACCAUGCAUAAAAACUAACUCAAAAUGCUUCAAAGGCCUAAAGAUAAAAUCUGAAACAAUAAAGAUCAUGCAAGAAAAAAUAGGGACAACGCUAGGAGCCCUAAUACAUGGCAUCAACAGUAUACAAAACAUUAUUAACAAUGCAGAAGAGAAACUAGAUAACUGGGGGAAAAAAAAAAACCCAGUGCCAUCAAGUUGAUUCUGACUCAUAGUGACCCUAUAGGACAGAGUAGAACUGCCCCAUAGAGUUUCCAAGGAGCGCCUGGCGGAUUUGAACUGCCGAGCCUUUGGUUGGCAGCCGUAGCACUUAACCACUACCCCAUCUCCUAAAAAUCAAACACCUAUGCUUACCCAAGGAUUUCACCAAAAGAGUAAAAAGAUUACCUACAGUCUGGGAAAAAGUUUUUAGCUAUGACAUUUCUGAUCAGCGUCAGAUCUCUAAAAUCUUCAUGAUACUGCAAAAACUCAACUACAAAAAGGCAAAUAACCGAAUUAAAAAAUGGGCAAAGGAUAUGAACAGGCACUUCACUAAAGAAGACAUUUGGGUAGCUAACAGAUACAUGAGGAAGUGGUUGUGAUCAUUAGCCAUUAGAGAAAUGCAGAUCAAAACUACAAUGAGAUUCCAUCUUGCUCCAACAAGGCUGACAAUAAUCCAAAAAACAAAACAGUAAAUGUUGGAGAGGUUGUGGAGACACUGGAACACUUAUAUAUGGCUGGUGGGGAUGUAAAAUGGUACAACCACUUUGGAAAUCGAUUUGGCGCUUCCUUUUAUUUAGUUUCAUUUCUAGUUUUUUAAAACUAGAAAUGAAACUACCGUACGAUCCAGCAGUCCCACUCCUUGGAACAUAUCUUAGAGAAAUAAGAGUCUUUACACAAACAGAUAUAUGCACACCCAUGUUCAUUGCAGCAUUGUUUAUAAUAGCAAAAAGAUGGAAGCAACCAAGGUGCCCAUCAAUGGAUGAAUGGAUAAAGAAAUUAUGGUAUAUUCACACAAUGAAAUACUACCCAUCAAUAAAGAACAAUGAUGAAUCCGUGAAACAUUUUAUAACAUGGAGGAAUCUGGAAGGCAUUAUGCCGAGUGAAAUUAGUCAGUUGCAAAAGGACAAAUAUUGUAUAGGACCACUAUUAUAAGAACUCAAGAAAUAGCUUAAACAGAGAAGAAAAUAUUCUUUGAUGGGUACAAAAGCGGGGAGGGAGAGAGGAAGAGGGUUUUUUCACUAAUUAGAUAGUAGAUAAGAACUAUUUUGGGUGAAAGGAAAGACAACACACAAUACAGGAGAGGUCAGCACAACUGGACUAAACCAAAAGCAAAGAAGUUUCCUGGAUAAACCGAACACUUUGAAGGCUAGCGUAGCAGGGGCUGGGGUUUGGGGACCAUGGUUUCAGGGCUCAUCUAAAUCAAUUGGCAUAAUAAAAUCUAUUAAGAAAAAAUUCUGCAUCCCACUUUGGAGAGUGGCAUCUGGGGUCUUAAAACACUAGCGAGCGGCCAUCUAAGGUACAACAAUUGGUCUCAGCCCACCUGGAGCAAAGGAGGAUGAAGAACACCAAAGAUACAAGGUAAUUAUGAGCCCAAGAGACAGAAAGGGCCACAUAAACCAGAGACUACAUCAGCCUGAGACCACAAGAACUAGAUGGUGCCCUGCUACAACCAAUGACUGCCCUGGCAGGGAACAUAACAGAGAACCCCUGAGGGAGCAAGAAGAAGAGUGGGAUGCAGACCCCAAAUUCUCGUAAAAAGACUAGACUUAAAGGUCUGACCAAGAGUAGAAGGACCCCAGAGGUCAUGGUCCCCAGACCUUCUAUUAGCCCAAGACAGGAACCAUUCCCAAAGCCAACUCUUCAGACAGAGAUUGGACUGGACUAUGGGAUAGAAAAUGAUACUGGUGAUGAGUGAGCAUCUCGGAUCAAGUAGACACAUGAGAUUAUGUGGGCAUCCCAUGUCUGGAGGGGGGAUGAGAGGACAGAGGGGGUCAGAAGCUGGCUAAAUGGACAGGAAAACAGAGUGGAGGGAAGGAGUGGGCUGUGUCAUCAGAGGGAGAGCAACUAGGAGUACCUAGAUAGCAAGGUAUGUGUAAGUUUUUGUAUGAGAGACUGACUUGGUUUGUAAACUUUCACUUAAAGCACAAUAAAAAAAAAAGAGUGGAUUUUAUUUCCUAAUUUCUCCUUUUGCGAAUUAUGUGUUGAUAUCUUUCAUUCAUAUGGUUUUCUUUAAUCCUAACCCCUUGCUAGUUGUAACAAAUCCUCUUUCCUUAGUUGGUUACCUAUUUAUUUUUUAUUUUCUUUCCUUCACAUAUAAAAGUUUCAAGUUUUUAUUUAGUGAAAUUUAUUAACCUUUUCCAUUUUCUUGGAGGUCUUUUCGAAGUAUGAAGACGUUUGCCUAGGUAUAGUUAUCAGUUAAAUGAGAUUAUGGAUGUGGAAGUGUUUUUGUAAGCAGGAAAACACAAACUACAGCUAGAAGGAGCUUUGACUCCUCGUCCUCACUGUCACUGGAGAGACUCUGCAGACCUUAAGGGCCAUGCAAGAGUGUUGCUGGUGAAAGGGAUUCCUUUGUGAAUUUUGCCACUCUUCAAAAUUAAACCACUGGGCAUGGUAUUGUCUAGGUUAGUGCUGUCCAAUAGAAAUAUAAUAUGAAUCACAUAUAUAAUUAAAAAUUUUCUGGUAGCCACAUUAAAAAAUGAGACAGGUGAAGUUAAUAAUAUAUUUUAUUUAACCCUGAUAUAUUUUAUUUAACCCAGUCUAUCCAAAAUGUUAUCAUUUCAACAUUCAGGUCUUCAAAAUCCAGUAUGUAUUUUAUACUUGGCAGUGCAUCUCAGCUGACAGUCACAUUUCAAGUGCUCAGUAGCCACGUGUGGCCAGUAUCGGGCAGCGGAGGUCUAGAUGCGGGCAGAUAGGCAGAGCUUUGAGGUAUCUUCUAGAUGCAGAGGGGUAGUCAGAGCUUUGAGGCGUCUUGUAGACUCUGGAGUCAGGCAGUCCAUCCUUAAAUCUAAACUUUCCUCAGUACUUGGAAGAAGGCAGCACAUACUUAAAAGCAGUUGAAUGAAUUUGCUGUUUCUGCCUUGACAGAAAUUUAAGACCCCCUUUUCUCUCCAUGAAGGAGCCUUGGUGGCUCAGUGGUUAAAGUGCCUAGCUGCUAACCAAAAUGUCGGUGAUUUGAACCCACCAGCCGCUCCUCAGGAGAAAGAUGUGACAGUCUGCUUCUAAAGAUUAAAAAAUACAGCCUUGGAAACCCUUUGGGACAGUUCUACUCUGUCCAGUAGGGUUGCUCUGAGUCAGAAUCGACUCCAUGGAAGUGGGUUUGGUUCCCCGCCCCCCGCCAUGAGGAACUCUGGUGGCUCAGUGGUUAAGGCACUUGGCUGCUAAUGAAACGGUCAGCAGUUCAAACCCACCAGCUGUUCCAUGGGAGAAAGAUGUGACAGUCUGC